UUCCGGUUGAUCCUGCCAGAGGUCACUGCUAUCGGGGUUCGAUUAAGCCAUGCGAGUCGAGAGGGUUCGGCCCUCGGCGUACUGCUCAGUAACACGUGGAUAACCUGCCCUAGGGGAGGGGAUAACCCCGGGAAACUGGGGAUAAUACCCUAUAGGUUACAGAUGCUGGAAUGCCCUGUAACCAAAAGCUCCGGCGCCCUAGGAUGGAUCUGCGGCCGAUUAGGUUGUUGUUGGGGUAACGGCCCAACAAGCCCGUAAUCGGUACGGGUUGUGGGAGCAAGAGCCCGGAGUUGGAUUCUGAGACACGAAUCCAGGCCCUACGGGGCGCAGCAGGCGCGAAACCUUUACAAUGCGGGCAACCGUGAUAAGGGAACCUCGAGUGCCUGUAAACGCAGGCUGUUCAGGUGUUUAAAACGCACCUGGAGAAAGGGCCGGGCAAGACCGGUGCCAGCCGCCGCGGUAAUACCGGCGGCUCGAGUGGUGGCCGCUUUUAUUGGGCUUAAAGCGUUCGUAGCUGGGUUGUUAAGUCUCUUGGGAAAUCUGGCGGCUUAACCGUCAGGCGUCUAAGGGAUACUGGCAAUCUUGGAACCGGGAGAGGUGAGGGGUACUUCGGGGGUAGGGGUGAAAUCCUGUAAUCCUCGAGGGACCACCUGUGGCGAAGGCGCCUCACCAGAACGGCUUCGACAGUGAGGGACGAAAGCUGGGGGAGCAAACCGGAUUAGAUACCCGGGUAGUCCCAGCCGUAAACGA
Molecule: ribosomal RNA, 750 nt
Filed under: uncultured archaeon
Lineage: Archaea
Description: bacterial SSU rRNA
Rfam family: Archaeal small subunit ribosomal RNA
Source: RNAcentral